Molecule: ribosomal RNA, 520 nt
Filed under: uncultured bacterium
Lineage: Bacteria
Description: bacterial SSU rRNA
Rfam family: Bacterial small subunit ribosomal RNA
Source: RNAcentral
ACGAACGCUGGCGGCGUGCUUAACACAUGCAAGUCGAACGGGACUGAGUUGAAAGCUUGCUUUGAAAAGUCUAGUGGCAAACGGGUGAGUAACGCGUAGGCAACCUGCCUCUAAGAUGGGGACAACAGUCCGAAAGGACUGCUAAUACCGAAUGUUGUGAGUUUUCCGCAUGGAGGACUCAUUAAAGAUGGCCUCUACUUGUAAGCUAUCACUUAGAGAUGGGCCUGCGUCUGAUUAGCUAGUUGGUGGGGUAACGGCCCACCAAGGCGACGAUCAGUAGCCGGUCUGAGAGGAUGAACGGCCACAUUGGGACUGAGACACGGCCCAGACUCCUACGGGAGGCAGCAGUGGGGAAUCUUCCGCAAUGGGCGAAAGCCUGACGGAGCAACGCCGCGUGAGUGAAGAAGGUCUUCGGAUCGUAAAGCUCUGUCGAAGGGGACGAACGUGGGUUCUAUCAACAACGGAACCUAAUGACGGUACCUUUCAAGAAAGCCACGGCUAACUACGUGCCAGCAGCCGC